GAAACUCAAAGGAAUUGACGGGGACCCGCACAAGUAGCGGAGCAUGUGGUUUAAUUCGAAGCAACGCGAAGAACCUUACCUAAGCGUGACAUCCCAAUGACAUCUCCUUAAUCGGAGAGUUCCCUUCAGGGACAUUGGUGACAGGUGGUGCAUGGUUGUCGUCAGCUCGUGUCGUGAGAUGUUGGGUUAAGUCCCGCAACGAGCGCAACCCUU
Molecule: ribosomal RNA, 213 nt
Filed under: Clostridioides difficile
Lineage: Bacteria; Bacillati; Bacillota; Clostridia; Peptostreptococcales; Peptostreptococcaceae
Description: partial 16S ribosomal RNA
Rfam family: Bacterial small subunit ribosomal RNA
Source: RNAcentral